AGUGGGAUAGCUGGGUCAUAGGGUUCCAUUUUGAGUUUUCUGAGGAAUCUUCAUAUUGCUUUCCAUAGUGGUUGCACCAAUUUGCAGUCCCACCAGCAAU
RNAcentral lists this microRNA precursor (100 nucleotides) under Marmota monax (woodchuck). Lineage: Eukaryota; Metazoa; Chordata; Mammalia; Rodentia; Sciuridae. The record is from RNAcentral.